Molecule: long non-coding RNA, 1939 nt
Organism: Tympanuchus pallidicinctus (lesser prairie-chicken)
Lineage: Eukaryota; Metazoa; Chordata; Aves; Galliformes; Phasianidae
Exons: 2
Source: RefSeq, a predicted model, not a curated record
AAUGUACCCCCUCCCGCCGAGCUCUCCCACUGUGACGAGAAGAUUAAUCCCUAUAUAAAGAAUCUUAGGGAUUAAGUAAAGUGCUCAGUAAAGGUCUGGGUGCUUGGUGUGUGGCAAGGGGGAGUGUGGGGAGGGUGGCAAUAGCAACAAGAAAGCAGAAGAGCUACAAACCUCAAAGAAAGCCAGCGAGAAGGGAGGGAGCUCACUGGCUGCCUGACAGGCCUGACAGGCAUUCCCAGCUGAUCCGUUCCAGACCCUGCGUGGAUUUGGCUCUGUUUGACUCUGCUCCUGUGAAACCGGAGAUGUUGAGAAGGCAGAGUGAGCGAGAGAGAUGCCCUCAGUCUUAACGAGCGCUGACAACGAACGGAAGAUAACCCAGCAUGAGGGACAGGUGGAGUGGUAUCACUGAGGCUCACAGAGAGUUUUGAGCUUCCAACUGCGACGCUUCUCUCCAGUUGCAACCCUGAAGGCCAUGGACAGUGCCCCAAAGCAAUCACAGGGCAGGGAAUGCAUGCAGAGGGCACUGCGUUGCAGCGUGGCAAAGCCCAGGGAAGGAGAGUGCUUCCAUCCUGUGCGGCCUCUCUUCCCCUGCAAAGUGCAGUUUUGGGAGACAGUUUGCUCCAAGGGCUGCUACAAUGAUUCACAUGUACCUCUUCAUGUAUGUAAGGAUUGUAGCUCAGAGCAGAGUUUGUUCCCUGGUGCAUGAACCAUGCUGGAGUACAGUUGUAGUUGAAGCUUGGAUUCUUAGGAGGGCACAGAGUCCACAUGUAGCUUCAGCUGGAUGAUAUCAAAGGACUUGGUAAGCAAGGAGGAGCACGGCGAAGACACAGAAACAAGUUAAAGAUGUCGCCUGAUCUCCAGCAAAUAUGUGCUCAGUAUUUUAGCCCACAGCAAAGGUAAAAUAAUGCAGGAUGGUUUUACCUGCAUUAAAAGAGCACUCCGUCCAAUUAUUCCAUUUUAUGAGCAUAUGCAGAAGUCAUUAACAUGGAUCAGCUGGUGCUAAGUAGAAUUCUAACCACAGAAACUUGUUCCUAUACCUAAACCUACAUUUCCCCUGCCUGUAAAAGGCAAUUUUGAAGUUUUCCUUGUUGGCGCGUUGUAAAGCUAUAAAAUAUGCAAACCCUCAUUCAAAAGCAUCAUACAAAAAUUAAAAAUGUUUUAAACUAUGACACUGCAUUAGAAUGAUAAAAGGUUAAAACUCUCCCUGCAUGAGAGAAUCUGGACAUUUUCCUUGUGAAUGAAGUGAUGAGAGGAAGACAGAAGCCCUCUGUCAGAUAGUUAGCAACUGUAAUAUUAUUGAUUCGUAAAUUAAAAGUGGGAAUCCCAUACAAAAUAUAAAUUCCCAGCAUUAUUUUCACAUUUCUUUGGAUUCCAAACCAGAAUUCAGCCUGUUGAUACUCAUGUAACACUGAAUUGCAUUUGAAAGUAAUUCACAGGAUAAAUAAAAAUUAGCCCAGGGAAGACUUAAAUACAGCAACUGUAGGACCGGUAUCAAUACCUCCAGAAAAAGGUGAGCAGCCACAGCCAAACUUCACAUUUCUGACCUACAGUCUACACCAAAGAAAUGCAGACAUCAUUCAGUUUUUAGAUAUGAGCGUUAAAUAAAGCCUAAAUAACAAAAAUCAGCGUGGAAACCUGUGAAUAACCUGAGGAUAUUUUUUCCCUGAUUCUCAUAAAAAUGAUGCCAAUUUUGCACUCACAUUGCACACCUGGUUUCUAAUAGGAUUAUUUCAAUUUUUAAACCAGUGAGACAGAUUAGAGAGUAGCCAGAUUCCAUUAAAAAUGGAAAAAAGAAACCCUAAUUGGAUAAAUUGUUCAUUCCAAGGCCAGCAUGAGUUUUAUGAAACACAAUUGAAAUAUCAUGGUGUAAAAUACCCAGUUAACUGUCCAUGCUUCAUUUACAUUAAAUAUAGAAAUGAGCUCUCCUGUCAAAAUUACA